RNAcentral lists this ribosomal RNA (207 nucleotides) under uncultured bacterium. RNAcentral's name for it is "partial 16S ribosomal RNA". It matches the Rfam family "Bacterial small subunit ribosomal RNA", at positions 568 to 774 of the family's 1533-position model. The record is from RNAcentral.
CGCGUAGGCGGUUCUCCAAGUCAGGGGUGAAAUCCUGCGGCUUAACCGUAGAAGUGCCUUUGAUACUGGAGAUCUUGAGGGAGGUAGGGGUCCGUGGAACUUCUGGUGGAGCGGUGAAAUGCGUUGAUAUCAGAAGGAACGCCGGUGGCGAAAGCGACGGACUGGAUCUCUUCUGACGCUGAGGCGCGAAAGCUAGGGGAGCAAACG